AUUUUGAGAUAGGGCUUUGCUAAGUUUCUGAGGCUGGACUCAAACUUGUGAUCAAAUUUGCCUCACUCUCCCAAAUUGCUGAGAUUACAGGCAUGUGCUACCAUGCCCAACAUCCUCAGUCCUUUUUAUUUUUUUGUUUUGAAACAGUGUCUCAUUAAAUUGCUGAGGCCGGCCUUGAACUUGGGAUACUCCUGCCUCAGCCUCCUGGAAUGGAUCUACUACAAAUGACCAACAGCAAAGCAAAUCACAAAAUUCAUAGAAGAGAUUUGUUCAACAUUGCAGUUGUUUGUCAAAUACAAACCCUUUUACUAUAAUACACUGCUUCUUGUUCUCCACAAUUCAUGACUUAAGUACCAAAAUGCAUACCAGUUAUUAUAUAUUGCCAAGAAUUAAAUGAUAACCUUAGAGACUGAUUAGACUGAAAAUGCCUAAUUAAUGCAUAUAUUCUUGUGCCUCGUACUUCACCACAAAUACAGUGUAAUGUCGUCAGUCCUAAACUGCUUUAGUUUUGUAAGAACACUGGUUAAUUUGUAUAAGAUAUUGUAGAGCUUUUUAUGCUUUAGAGGUUAAACAGCGUCUUUGUGGGGGAGGGGGACUAAUUUAUUUCAUCACUACUAGAUGUGAUACCUCUUAUAAAAAAUUUGUUGGGUUUUUUGUUUAUUUUUAACAAAAGUUGAUUGGAACAAGAAGAUAUAUAGGCUGAUAUAUAUUCAGGCUGAAAGAUAUUUUAACAUUUGUCUUCAACUUGAUUUUUCUGUUUGAGAAAGUUUAUAAGUAUUAUUGAUGCAUAGUCUGGCCUACUCUCUUUAAAAUUCCUGUUGAGUUUCUUUGUGUUUACAAGGAAAAGAUUGAAUUUUUUCUCCUCAGAACUAGCAUUUUUUGACAAAUAAACUAUCAGGUUAAACUUGCACUAAUGUCUGCUCUAACUGCCUGUUUUGGUACACUAAGCAGACCAGAUCAGUUUUUUUUUUUU
RNAcentral lists this long non-coding RNA (973 nucleotides) under Ictidomys tridecemlineatus (thirteen-lined ground squirrel). RNAcentral's name for it is "lncRNA (ENSSTOG00000032387.1)". The record is from RNAcentral. Lineage: Eukaryota; Metazoa; Chordata; Mammalia; Rodentia; Sciuridae.